AGAUAGAGAACCCUUAGGAAGGCGAUGCUGGAUCCUAUGGGUCUCAACAGAGGGCCUUACGGGGCCACUGUAACAACCAACCACGAAUGGGAGGCUCAACACAACUGAAACGCGCGUCCUCACAGCCCUGGAGGCCCGAACUCCAAAUCCAAGGCGCCAGCAGGGCCACGCUUCCUCCACGGAGCCUCGGGGAGCAGACGGUCUUGAGACGAGACUUGCUCCCGCAACCCUUUCCCAGCUGCAGCUGCCUCUCCGCCAUCUCUGCCUCCGUGGCCACGCGGCAUCUUCUCCCUGGCAUGGGCUGAACCACCGCAUCUCGGGCAGGGAAGAAAAAAAUGCUGGCAACUAAACCAUGAGGUCCCUUCAAGAGUAAAAUGGAACCUAAGAGGAAGACGGAACCUAACAGAGAUGUCGGGAGGAGAAGCAGCAUGCAUCUUAGAAUUGAUAAACACGAUA
Molecule: long non-coding RNA, 456 nt
Filed under: Pan troglodytes (chimpanzee)
Lineage: Eukaryota; Metazoa; Chordata; Mammalia; Primates; Hominidae
Description: lincRNA
Source: RNAcentral